RNAcentral lists this long non-coding RNA (708 nucleotides) under Anser cygnoides (Swan goose). RNAcentral describes it as "lncRNA (ENSACDG00005006268.1)". The record is from RNAcentral. Lineage: Eukaryota; Metazoa; Chordata; Aves; Anseriformes; Anatidae.
AUGGCUCUGGGCUGGAGCAAGGCUUUCCUUAGAGAAGCCAGUCCCCUUCCCCUUGCCCCCGCACUGCUGUCCCCCUGGGCCACGCUGCCCCCACAGCCUCUGCCUGCUGUGUGGAGGCAACGAGGGGCGGCCUGCUGCUGGUGGAGGCCGGGGGAGCGGCUGCUCUGGCUAGGAGUGGGACAAUUAAUGUCCUCCGUCAGGGCGGCAAGUCUCCAGACUUUGAGAAACAUCCCGGGGUUGGGCCGUGCCUGCCUGUUCCUGCAGUGGCUGAAAUACAGCCUUAUCCUGAGGGAAAUGGCGGUGAGAGGCGGCUGCCGGCUGGGAAAGGGGGGAGGCCUUGUGGCUGCGGAGAGCAGGAGCUGCUGCCGGCUGCUGUGGUGCGAAACGAAGAAGCACUUGUGUCCCAACUUCUUCAGGAGCUUAAAAAGACCUUCCUCUUGCUUCAGAGAUAAGAUUUCAGUGUAUGAAGAUCCUACUGGUGAUGCAAUUUUUCUGAUAAAUUCCAUGAGAGCAGGAAUAAUGCCUACUGCUGUGGUCCCUGGGGAGAUGCACAUUGCUUUCGCUCAUCACGUUCAUCCCACCUCCAGGAAUUACAUCCCAGUAUUUGUCAGUGGCAUUUUUCAAAGAGCUAUGGUGCUGUGGUCCGCUAAUUCCUGUCACUUUAAGGUUUGCACUGAACAGUUUGAGAAUGUUUUUUUUUUCAUGUAA